AGAGUUUGAUUAUGGCUCAGGACGAACGCUGGCGGCGUGCUUCAUACAUGCAAGUCGAGCGUGAACCCGGGGCUUGCCCUGGGGGAAAGCGGCGAACGGGUGAGUAACACGUGGGCAACCAACCCCAGCCUCUGGGAUAACCUCGGGAAACCGGGGCUAAUACCGGAUACUCUCGACGGGUCAUAUGGCCCGACGAGGAAAGCUCCGGCGGACUGGGACGGGCCCGCGGCCUAUCAGCUUGUUGGCGGGGUAAUGGCCCACCAAGGCGACGACGGGUAGCUGGCGUGAGAGCGUGACCAGCCACACUGGGACUGAGACACGGCCCAGACUCCUACGGGAGGCAGCAGUAGGGAAUCUUGCGCAAUGGGCGAAAGCCUGACGCAGCGACGCCGCGUGGGGGAUGAAGGCUCUUGGGUCGUAAACCCCUUUCGGCAGGGAAGAAGCGAAAGUGACGGUACCUGCAGAAGAAGCCCCGGCCAACUACGUGCCAGCAGCCGCGGUAACACGUAGGGGGCGAGCGUUGUCCGGAUUUAUUGGGCGUAAAGAGCGCGUAGGCGGCUCGGAAAGUCGGUUGUGAAAACUCGAGGCUCAACCUCGAGCUUGCAUCCGAUACUGCCGGGCUUGAGGCAGGUAGGGGAGAUCGGAAUUCCUGGUGUAGCGGUGAAAUGCGCAGAUAUCAGAGGAACACCGGUGGCGAAAGCGGAUCUCUGGGCCUGUCCUGACGCUGAGGCGCGAAAGCUAGGGGAGCGAACAGGAUUAGAUACCCUGGUAGUCCUAGUCGUAACGAUGGGUGCUAGGUGUGGGGCGGCGAUUGACUCGCCCUGUGCCGGAGCUAACGCAUUAGCACCCGCUGGGAGUACGCGCAUGCUAAACUCAAUGAAUUGACGGGG
RNAcentral lists this ribosomal RNA (890 nucleotides) under uncultured Actinomycetes bacterium. Its description in RNAcentral is "bacterial SSU rRNA". It matches the Rfam family "Bacterial small subunit ribosomal RNA", at positions 8 to 918 of the family's 1533-position model. The record is from RNAcentral. Lineage: Bacteria; Bacillati; Actinomycetota; Actinomycetes.